Gorilla gorilla gorilla (western lowland gorilla) is the source of this 896-nucleotide RNA transcript. It is a transcript of the gene named chromosome 9 C11orf91 homolog, with no coding region annotated. NCBI's taxonomy places the organism in Eukaryota, Metazoa, Chordata, Mammalia, Primates, Hominidae. The record is from RefSeq and is a predicted model, not a curated record. The transcript has 3 exons.
CUCGAAACCCCGGCGACUCGGGGCCUGAGCGCGCGUCUCCCGGCGCGGGGUUCCUCCCACGCAGACCCUCAUUCAAACGAUGCCAAAGGGGCGGCGCGGCAGCCACAGCCCCACCAUGAGCCAGCGGUCGGCUCCGCCCCUCUAUUUCCCGUCCCUGUACGACCGCGGCAUCUCCUCGUCCCCGCUCAGCGACUUCAACAUCUGGAAGAAGCUCUUCGUGCCGCUGAAGGCGGGCGGGGCGCCAGUGGGCGGGGCGGCGGGGGCCCGGUCCCUGUCCCAGGCGCUCCCCACCCCGGCGCCCCCGCCCCCGCCACCACCCGGCAUGGGUCCCUCCGGCGAGCGCCCCUGGCCCUCGCCCUGGCCCUCCGGCCUGGCCUCCAUCCCCUACGAGCCUCUGCGCUUCUUCUACUCGCCGCCGCCGGGGCCUGAGGUGGCUGCCUCGCCCCUGGUCCCCUGCCCCUCGACCCCCAGGCUCGCCUCUGCCUCCCACCCGGAGGAGCUCUGCGAGCUGGAGAUCCGGAUUAAGGAGCUGGAGUUGCUCACCAUCACUGGGGACGGCUUCGACUCCCAGAGCUAUCUGAACUUCAUGAGCCUCUUAGUCCCAAACUCCAUCCUCCCUCCAUCCUAAACCCUUUGGGUCAUCUGGACUCUGAGCCUCCACACCUGGAACUCCAUCCGCCACCACCCCGUCCUGAACUUUAAUCCUCCUGCACAGUCAUCCUCCUACCCUGUACUCUGGAGCUCCACCCACCACAGACAGUCCCUAAGCUUUAAUGUUCGGUCUUAAACCGGGGCUCUCCAUGGGGGGAAGGUGAGACACAUUCCUGAAGGCGCUAAAAGACGAAAAGUUACAAGGACUGAAGACCAAGCAACCCGGAAAGAAGUCGGCCUCUCUC